CCCCGCUGCCCCCGGCCGCCGCCCAGCCGCUGUCAGACGGCGCGGUGGUGCUGGGGCCGGGCGUCGGAGUGAGCUCCGAAGUGUCCAGUCUUGGAAUCAUAGAAAAUGUAUACAGAUGAUGCUGCUCGUGAAGAAACAAAAAUCUAUUAAAACACCUCCAGUGCAUCAGUAAAAGUGCUGGAAAGAAAUGUGAGUUUUGACUGUUGCUAAGAAGAGAUGUGGCUGUGUACAUUGCACGGGUCCUCUCCAAGUGACAACUCACAGGCAGGGGAAAAGAGACAUCAUUUAGGAGUUGGACUAGAUGGCUUCCAGAGGUCCGUUGCAACCUCAACCAUUCCACAUUUCUGUGAUUAGAAGAGAUUUUAUCUAUCCACUUUGCUGUGGUUCUUACUCUGGUGGCUUUUGAGGAAGCAUUCUCUCCAGGUUUGUCCCACCUGGAACAUGUUGAAACAGCACGAGCAUAGAGAUUCAAGUUACCAAAAUCCCAAUGGUCAAAAAAAUGGCAGGUUCAGCUGCAGUUUAUGGAAACAGAUAUAAUUGUUAGGGUUCAGAGCUGGCAAUGAGCAGAGGAGCUGGCUUCCAACUCAGGAGGUCACUCAAACUUUGGGUUUGGACUGUCCAGUUUUCUCUGAGAAAUCAUGCCCAAACACUUCUGUGUGGUGCCAAAACCAGAAAAUAUGUAGGUCUCCUCACUGUAAAAAAUCAAACAAUUAUUACAGGAUCUGGAUAAUCUCCACAUGCACACAAUAGAAGAAGUUUAGGGAAAGUUUUGUUGAAAAGAGGAAAUUUUGUCUCAUUAAAUUUGGUGGCAAAAAAUUCCAAAUUCAAGCAUGAUUUCACCCUAUGUUACACUCUUGCCAUUGUGUAGAUUUUUGGUUAUAGAUAAGGAUCAGCCAGGGUUUAUAACUAAGUUUAUUUUGUAGUAAGUCUGUAGCAGCAAUUAAAGUUCCAAAACAGUUUUCACAUACUAGUAAUUUAAAGAAAAGUACAUCUCUGAAGAUGUAAUUUUCCAUUUUAAUCUCCAUCCAAAGAUAUUCUUUAACUUUGGGCAAAUUCCUGUCAAACAGUUUGAGUUAUAAUUGUAUGAAAAAAGAUACUCUGCCAGAUGUAAGAGAAAGAUGACUGCUGACAUUUUUAUUUCUUUUCUACAAGAUAAGCCAUGAGAUCUGACCUCUGAAGAACGGUGUAUAAGUAACCACUCAGGAACUUGUUCAUAAAUGGACUGGAAAAGUAAAGUGGAAAAAAAGCUUAAAUUAUUAAGCCUGAAUGUUGGGUAAUAAGAGUGAACAGUAGAAAUAUGGCAAUUAGAUAUUUAAAUUAUUUUUGAUUCUCAGCCUUCUGCCUGAACCAUACCUGAGACAGUAAAGCUAGUACAUAUGGAGCAGAUAUCAGAGCAUGGGUUAUUUCAACAUCCAGUGCAAUAAUUAUGGCUAUAUUCAGUAUCACAAAUCUCGAAAUUGCAUCAAGCAACUUAAAAAAUAAAUUAAUUAUACUAUCACAAGGCAAACUUGGAAGAAAGUAAUUAUUCUUAACAUAGAAUAGUUCUGAGUAAAGAAUUAAUUUAUUGAUUUAGUAGUGUAGAAUUUGAUUACUUAACGUAUAAAUUCUCCCAGGAAUAGAGUCCUGGGGCAUCCUGAGAGGAGUGACUGAAUAACUGGAGACCUUAACGUGUAGAGGUCUUUGUAGGGUGCUCAGUGUAUCGAGUAAAAGAAAUCAUUAAUCCAAGCUACCAUCUAGCUGUGUUUGCCAUCUUGACUACUCAUCACAAAAAUUUGUCAGACUUAUUCAGAACAAAAAAUACAGAUGUAAUUCCCCACAAGUCCCCAGAGGUGUUUUUCAGUAUGGUUAGUUAUAUAUGGAAGAAACAUCAACAUUUCCUUGAUGCCUGACAGCACAAAAUCCUCAAAUAAAUAGCUACAAUAUUGGGUCUCAUAGUGAAAUUUUUAUAAUGUGCCAUACAAUUUUUAAUAUCUACAACAUAUGCAAAGUAGGAUCAAUUUUCUUACACUAGCACAGCAAAUGCGCCUCUAAGAUCCAGUUAAUGGUAUUAAGGUGCACUGAUAUAUUAUUUUAUUUUCUGACUUUAUCUAUAUUAAAAACAAAAUAAACUGAGAUUUUUAUUCCUCCUUACACCUGUAGAAGUAAUUCUUUAUGUGGUCUGAAUGAAGAUAUGAUAAUGGAUCAUCUUAGUAGCAACGUAUCACUAUGAAUAUGCAUUUGUUUUUCACGAGAAGGAUAUUUUAGGAUCGGGGGGAUAGCACUAGUUCUUAAAAGUAGACUAAAAUUAAAGCUUCUGAGUCCCAGGUGGAGGCAUUAAGAAACUAAAAUACCUGAGUUGAGGAAACCCCCAGCUUUGUGAUCAUGGUUAGACCUUCCAUCUGUAACACUAGAUAUAGAAGGAAAAAUACAACAAUCUGUAUUGCUGUGGCUCCUGGAAAAGCUGAAAGUGUGGGUACCAGUUAUUUACUGGACAGCAUGAAACCACAAAAUAAAUUUAACAGUUUGGAGCCCUGAUCCUUCUCAUUUAUGUUUCUGUUUUGCACUGUCCUUAGAAAAAGCACAAGUCUAAAAAAAGCCAAGGAUAUAAUACCCUGAUUUCCACCAUCUACUUAGCCUUUGAUAGAAGUUUUCUUAUUGAUUUCAAUAACUUGAGCUGCAUAGAAUCAAUCUUGAUAUGCUUUGCUUUAUUGAGACUACUCCCAACCUUGAAGUUAAGCAUUAAGGCUCAGAUUCUCGUGGGUAUCUACAUGUUUAAUUAUUUUCCCACAUCAGAACUAGCAGAUAAAGAUGUGUUCCAAAUUCUUGGCCAUAAGGGCAUGACAGUUCCUAGACACUUGUUUCUGAACCAGGCAGCCUGCCAGGUGGAAGGCUUAUUUGCCUCAAAACUUCAAGAAUCCAGUGUGUCAGGCUGGCACAAUGAACCAAUCACUAAAUUCAGAUCACGUAAUACAUACAAGCAUGGUGUUUUCCUUUUGGUGAUGAAAACUACUGGAAUGUAAUACAACAUUUGAAAAAACAUCUCUGCCAGUGUGCUACAUUCUCUCUUUACACCAGCAGUGAGAAUUCCACGCUAAAAGUGAACUAAUUAUCUAAAAAAAAGAAAAAAGCAGCCAUCCGCAUGAAAAAUCUGACUUAAGAGAGUGAUGAGAAAUACUCUUUUUCAUGUGCGAUCUGAAAGCCACUUCUCUUUGCACAGUUUACUUUUGGCCUUCAGUCCUAGCAGAGGAUUUAAAUGAGUCGCCUUCCCUUUUUGGCUCUUUAAAUACGUUGCUUAAUUCCAUCAACAGAGGUCACUGCCGCUCUUUUCCUCUUUGGUGAAAGCAAGCUUUUUCCAGAGAUAAAACAGAACAACUAAUGCUCUCUACUAGCAGAGUUUGGUUUACCCUUUAG
Molecule: long non-coding RNA, 3390 nt
Organism: Gallus gallus (chicken)
Lineage: Eukaryota; Metazoa; Chordata; Aves; Galliformes; Phasianidae
Source: Ensembl